GAAAGUCGAACGCUCGCGGCGUGCCUAAUACAUGCAAGUAAGAGCGGAGUUUUGAAAAGCUUGCUUUUCAAAACUUAGCGGCGGACGGGUGAGUAACACGUGGGCAACCUGCCCUUGAGACGGGGAUAACUCCGGGAAACCGGAGCUAAUACCGGAUAACACAUAUCUUCGCAUGAGGAUAUGUUAGAAGGUGGCUUUUAGCUACCACUCAAGGAUGGGCCCGCGGCGCAUUAGCUAGUUGGUGAGGUAACGGCUCACCAAGGCGACGAUGCGUAGCCGACCUGAGAGGGUGAUCGGCCACACUGGGACUGAGACACGGCCCAGACUCCUACGGGAGGCAGCAGUAGGGAAUCUUCCGCAAUGGACGAAAGUCUGACGGAGCAACGCCGCGUGAGUGAUGAAGGUUUUCGGAUCGUAAAGCUCUGUUGUUAGGGAAGAACAAGUACCUGUUAAAUAAGCAGGUACCUUGACGGUACCUAACCAGAAAGCCACGGCUAACUACGUGCCAGCAGCCGCGGUAAUACGUAGGUGGCAAGCGUUGUCCGGAAUUAUUGGGCGUAAAGCGCGCGCAGGCGGUUCCUUAAGUCUGAUGUGAAAGCCCACGGCUCAACCGUGGAGGGGUCAUUGGAAACUGGGGAACUUGAGUGCAGAAGAGGAGAGCGGAAUUCCACGUGUAGCGGUGAAAUGCGUAGAGAUGUGGAGGAACACCAGUGGCGAAGGCGGCUCUCUGGUCUGUAACUGACGCUGAGG
RNAcentral lists this ribosomal RNA (750 nucleotides) under bacterium OTU9. RNAcentral's name for it is "bacterial SSU rRNA". It matches the Rfam family "Bacterial small subunit ribosomal RNA", at positions 24 to 751 of the family's 1533-position model. The record is from RNAcentral.